AACGAACGCUGGCGGUAUGCCUAAUACAUGCAAGUCGAACGAUCACUUCGGUGAUAGUGGCGCACGGGUGCGUAACGCGUGGGAAUCUGCCCUUGGGUUCGGAAUAACAGCUGGAAACGGCUGCUAAUACCGGAUGAUGACGUAAGUCCAAAGAUUUAUCGCCCAGGGAUGAGCCCGCGUAGGAUUAGCUAGUUGGUGGGGUAAAGGCUUACCAAGGCGACGAUCCUUAGCUGGUCUGAGAGGAUGAUCAGCCACACUGGGACUGAGACACGGCCCAGACUCCUACGGGAGGCAGCAGUAGGGAAUAUUGGACAAUGGGGGCAACCCUGAUCCAGCAAUGCCGCGUGAGUGAUGAAGGCCUUAGGGUUGUAAAGCUCUUUUACCCGGGAUAAUAAUGACAGUACCGGGAGAAUAAGCCCCGGCUAACUCCGUGCCAGCCGCCGCAGUAA
Molecule: ribosomal RNA, 449 nt
Filed under: uncultured bacterium
Lineage: Bacteria
Description: partial 16S ribosomal RNA
Rfam family: Bacterial small subunit ribosomal RNA
Source: RNAcentral